UACGGGGGGGGCAAGCGUUGUUCGGAAUUACUGGGCGUAAAGGGCUCGUAGGUGGCCAACUAAGUCAGACGUGAAAUCCCUCGGCUUAACCGGGGAACUGCGUCUGAUACUGGAUGGCUUGAGUUUGGGAGAGGGAUGCGGAAUUCCAGGUGUAGCGGUGAAAUGCGUAGAUAUCGAGAGGAACACCUGCGGCGAAGGCGGGUUGCUGGGCUGACACUGACGCUGAUGCGCGAAAGCUAGGGGAGCGAACGGG
Molecule: ribosomal RNA, 253 nt
Filed under: uncultured bacterium
Lineage: Bacteria
Description: partial 16S ribosomal RNA
Rfam family: Bacterial small subunit ribosomal RNA
Source: RNAcentral